Molecule: unclassified non-coding RNA, 393 nt
Filed under: Aulacospermum anomalum
Lineage: Eukaryota; Viridiplantae; Streptophyta; Magnoliopsida; Apiales; Apiaceae
Description: partial external transcribed spacer
Source: RNAcentral
CGCACCAGCCGUUCGGACCAAUAGAAUCCUUGGGCUAACACGGGGCACGGGAGACUUCUGUAAGAAAAGUUUAGUUCGGGCAAAGUGGGACAAGGACCACGCCCGGUCAUGUUUCCGCAUAAAAAGAUUCAGGCACCACAAGAGCAUCCACACCUCGCAAGCAUAAAAUACAGGCAAGGGCAGACGUCAAAGUGAGCUUUUAUGUCAACUCGCACAAAACAGGCAGCACGAGACGAUAAGGGACAGUCGGACAAUCAAAUUCCUUUAGAAUAGGUAUGCUGCACAGGGGCCAAGACAGCCCGAGUCAAUUAAUUAGCUCUGGGACAAUAUUGAAAAGAUAUGAACAAGCGGCUGUCGCUGCCAAGGCAGGGAACCAACCAACCGGUUCAAACC